UUAAUACAGAAAGGCAGAAAAAUAAAUAAAAUGAUUAAAAAUUUUAAUUUUACCAACCUUGAAAGUGGGAGAAAGUCAACCACUUGACUAAAGAUGAAAACGCGUAAUCCAUAAAAAAUAACGAAAAUGUGACCUGAAAGAAGGACUUCAAAAUUAUUAAAUAAAAAAUUUCACAGAAUAUUUUUUUUAUUGAAUUUUCAACUUUUCUCGAUGAGAUGACGACGCUCGUUAUUGAUGAUUUUCAUUAAAAAAUUUUUCCAUGAAGGAAAUUUUCUUUUCACGAAGGCUCAGGAACAAACAGGAUCGAUGUUAAUAAAUGCUCUUAACGACAUUGAGCGACUUUCAGUUUUCACAUGAAAUUGACGAUUAUUUUUGGAAUCCAAUUGAUGUUAAAAUUUCUUGCGAGUCCUGAAAGUCUCCCAAAAGACCCUGAAAAAAUAAAAAGAAGCAUUUUCAGUAUUAAUCGUUCAAGGAAGUUGCUAGAAACUACGAAGCACAUGUCGAUUUUUACUUGAAAAUUUUUCACAAAAAGAAUUUUCUUUAAAAAAUCUUUGGUUUUUGAGACUUUUUCAAGGUCAAUGAAGCUUAAUGAGCCUCGUGUCCUUUGAAAAUUUCUUUAAA
This is a long non-coding RNA of Culicoides brevitarsis, 621 nucleotides long. RefSeq lists it as uncharacterized. The record is from RefSeq and is a predicted model, not a curated record. The transcript has 3 exons. NCBI's taxonomy places the organism in Eukaryota, Metazoa, Arthropoda, Insecta, Diptera, Ceratopogonidae.